RNAcentral lists this long non-coding RNA (6535 nucleotides) under Malus domestica (apple). RNAcentral's name for it is "long non-coding RNA (MDOM_LNC009420)". Lineage: Eukaryota; Viridiplantae; Streptophyta; Magnoliopsida; Rosales; Rosaceae. The record is from RNAcentral.
GGGGAGCGGGAGAAAGGGGCUGCCCUUUGGGCAGCUCGCAGAGACGCAGGAACCAAAGCUGCCUUAGGCAGAGGAAAAAAACGGAAAGACUGGCGGGGGAGAGAGAGGGAGACACUUGCGAAACCAGAGGGGAGAGCUGGAAGGCAGGCGCACGGACAGAAUAAGAAAAUAAGAAGGGAAGAACGCUGCCCUUUGGCAGUGAGGUCAGGGAGAGCUGGAAGGCAGGCGCACGGACAGACUGAAGCAUCCUCCUCUUUCGGUUAAAUCUUUCCAAACUUCUAUUUUAUUUCUGUUUUAAUAAUGUGUAAAUAAACUUAUUUUGGCUAGAGGUUAAUUCAAAGCCAUGAAUAUAUUUGUAAUAUGAAUUGAUUACCUUAAGUUGUGAUUUAUAAGUUGUGUGAAUUCAAUUUACUUAUCCGUUCGUAUAAAAACUGAUUUGUGUAUGUUGGUUGAGAGUGCACGCUUAAUUUUCAUGCAUGAAUUUGAUGCUAGAAUAUAAGGGAGUUUCACCUAAUCGUUAUGAACUUAUAUUCACAAGUAGUGAAGGUUGCUAGUCAUAAUCACGUUAAGUAAAUUCUUGGCAUAAGUUUCAUGCAAAUCAUAGUAACGAGUGUCUCGUCAAUGCUUAUGUUUUUCAUAGAACUUAAUGAUUCUCGCUUGUAUCUCUAUUAUGCAACUCAUGUAGGGAACUUGUAGGGAAUGUUUUGGGUUGUCGUAUGCAAUCAUCCAACCCAAUAACUUGUGGAAAAACUGAGGGUUAAUUAGUGCAAUUCACGGUUAAUUUGGGGCAUUGAGUAUUAAUAGCUUAUCAAAAAGCAACUGAAAAUCAAUUCAUGUUCAAGUGUGUCAUGUGUGAAGAAUGGAUCUCUAGCUAAUCCAUCAACCAUAUAUUUAGUUUUACUUUUUAUCUCAAUCACAACCAAAACCAAUACCCCCCAUUUAUUUUCUUGUAUCAAAGUGUGCUUAAGUUUGUUUUGAACUAUUUGAGUCUAGUUUAGUGUUUUAAAGCCUACUUUUGUGUUUUUAAGUUUCUUCUUAUAUUUUUGAGUCAAGUGAGAGGUUAUUAGCAAGCCCUCCUAAUCCCCGGCCUAGAACGAUACCCUACUUAUACUUAUACUACAAUUGACAAAAAGAGGGUUUAAUUUGUGUGCUUAUAUUAUUCGCAUCAAAUUUUGGCGCCGUUGCCGGGGAUUAGCAACUUUGCUAAUCCUUUUAUUUUUGUUUUUGUUUAUGUUUAUAUUGGUGUUUGUGUAUUUUACUUUUGAUAUUUGAUUUAUUUUUCUUUCUUUGAUUUUAGGUUCAAAUGGAGCCGAGGGAAAUUUAAAGGAAAGAUGCGUCCGGCUAAAGACGUUAAAUCAAGCGCUUCUUGGGAGGCAACCCAAGCAUUCAAUGAAGGGAGACUUUGGAAUCACUAACCCAAUCAGCUUUGCAUUCUUCCACCCUUAUCUUUACUGCUUUCAUUUUGUUUUGUUUAGUUAGUUGUGUUAUUUGGUUGAUUUCUGUGAGUUUGUGUUAUUUAGUUUAAGUGUGGGAGAAGGUUAACCAAAGUCUCUUUACAUUAAUUUACAUAUAAAAAAAAAAAAGAGAUAAAAUUUAAAAUUAAUGAUAAAAAAAAAAAAGUACAUAAAAAAAAUAAAUAAAUAAAAAAAAAAAAAUUAAAAAAAAAAAAAAAAUAAAUAAAAAAAAAAAAAAAAAAAAAAAGUACAAAUAUUUUACAAUGAUGUAAACUAAUAGUAUUCAUUGGUCGGGUGAUGCUUCAGUAGUAGGCGGGGCUUCAGCAGUCGGCGGGGCCACAGAAGGAGGAGGCAGCAGAGGUUGAUCAGUUGGAGCUUCACUACGCGGUGCCGCUCCAGAAGACGAAGGCAGAUGUUGUUGGAACAAACCCACAAACCUCCGAUGAUCAAGUAAAAUUUGACCAUCGGUGUCCUGCAUCUGGUCAAUCUUCCUCUUCAUGCUGGUGGCAUAGCUGUGUGCGAGCUUGUGCAAUUCUUUAUUCUCAUGCUUGAGCCCUUUAAUCUCUUGCUUGAGACUCUGUAUUUCAGCCACCAACGAUUCAACGUGACGGGUUCGAGCAUAUAGGCGUUGGGCCAUGUUGGAUACGGAACCCGCACACUGCACACUGAGAGCCAGAGACUCCUUAACCGCCAAUUCAUCAGACCGUCUAGCGAGCAGUCUGUUAUCUUUAGGAGUGACAAUGUUCCGGGCCACCACCGCUGCUGUCAUAUCGUUCUUCAUCACCGAAGCCCCCACGGUAAGAAGACCGGUAGGGGAUAUGAAGGUUGGCCGCCAUAUGUUGUCUGGUGAAGGCGGAGCUGCCUCUUCACCAAUGUUCAAGUCAAAACGACGAUCAGAAGGGCCAGACAUUUUUAUGAGGUGGUGAAGAAAGAAGAGAGUCAGAAUGAUCAAGAUUAAACAAGUGCAAGAAGGGAGUGUUUACAGGAGGGUGCUCAAGUGUGUUGUGGAACAAGCUUAACGCCUCUAUAAAAAGAAGAAAUCGGAGAGGCGCUCCUCAGAGAAGCGUCCUCUCGCAAAUCGAAGAGUCGGGGCUCCUUUCUCAAAAGCCGGAUUCUUUUCUCAAAAGAGGAGUUUCCGUUCUCAAAAACCGGAUUCUUUUCUCAAAAGAGGCGUUUCAUUUCUUAAAGGCUGGGCUUGCUCAGAAAUAAUGAGCCGAACCCCGGAUUUCAAAAGAUCAAUUUGUCCAGACGUGUCGUCACUUGUCACACGCAAAUUGCUUUGCGAAAUUCUCGGGCAGUUUGUCGAAGCACCAAUUCAGAAAUCGAAGAGGGAAAUUCAACAGUCAAAGACACGCUAGCUUUCUCAAAAGCUGGGCUUCAACCCACGGGCAAAUCUUCUUUUCCAGAUUUAUCCGCACGUGUCACAUGCUACCUCUACAAUCGACGAUGCUCAGAGCUCGAAGCGCCGAUUCCAGAUACCAAUGAGGAAUCUGCUUUGCGGAAAUUACGGGCAGCUUUAUCAGAAAGCGCGUAAUUUGUACUAUUCAUCCAUCCACCGGCUGCCGACAAUGAGUGAGAGAAUAGUUCCGGUUGUGAAGAAAAGUCCUAUAAGUUUCUACCUUCGCCUUCCACAACAAAAGCACUCUCUCAGCACACCCUCUCAACACUUCUUCAUCUCCGAAAAUGCAUUCCCAAAGAAUCCUCUCGAGUCACUCUGUGUUCCUCAUUCCUUGGGAUACUCCUGCGAACAACCCAUUCAAAGCAAAAGUAUUUCAUAUAUAUAAAGGUUGAAAGCAAGAGUAUCUCAUAUCAUGCAUGCAUUCUCCAUGUCCUUUUCCUUGUCUUUGUUCUAACCUGCAGGACAUGGAGAAAUUGCUCUCGAGUACUCGUCUUCCACUGCUGAUGUACUCCAAAGAAGCUGCCACAUCUAUCCGAAGAACAGAUAAGGCAAGCGAAAAUGAUACCAGCAGCAGCAUGUGGAGACAACGUGCAGAAGAAAACAAGCAGAGAAGAAUGCAGCAGCUUGCACAAUCAUCCCCAACGGAAGGAGUCUGAGAUGAAGAACUAGAGAAGCUGCCACAUCUGCUUGGAGAACAAAUAAGGAAUUGAGCCUGCACAAUCAACUCGAGAGCAGAAGGAAUCUGAGUUGAAGAACUCAAGAAACUUCAACAACAUCGCCAAAGAGCAAAGCCUUGCAGUACAAUAGCAUAAAAUCAUCACUUGCAAGUGAAAAGCUAAGUGUCACCCUGUUCAAGAGGAAAGCUGUGGAAAGUCAACAAGCACGACCAAUGAUUACUUAUUAGUUUUAUUCAUUAUCUUUUAUCGUAAUUUUCAAUUUUUUCGUUUGCAAUUUUUUUUUAAUUAAUUUUCUUGCGUUACUUAACUGAAUUAUUUCUUUUCUUUGCAGGAACUUUUGGUUAUUUCCACCCUUGAAGUUGAUUGCAGAAUUUUAGCUUGGGGGGUCAUCGCUUGAUUUUACUGCAAAUUAGGGAAGUUUUCAGUCUAAUUGCUUUAUUUUGUUUCUUAUUAUUUAUUUAUUUAUUUUAUUUUUAUUUGCAUUUAUAGUGUUUUGACACAUUGGGGACAAUGUCAAGUUUAAGUAUGGGGGUAGACAUCUCUAGAAUUUCAUUUGUUUCUUCUGUAUUGUUGCUUUUUGUUUUCUUUAAAAAAAAAAAAAAAAAAAAAAAAAAAAUCGGAAAAUUUAAAAAAAAAAAAAAAAUAUUGUCUUGUUUCCCUUAUUGUUUUAAUUUUUGAGUUAUUUUUUUUUUUGUUAGUUUCCCGACCCAAUGAUAUAUAAUUGGAUCAAAUUUGAAUCAUGAUUAUUAUCAAGAACUUAGUUAACAACAUGUGUUUUGUGAAAUUCCUAUUUUCUCUUGUUAGUUUUGUACAUGUUUGAUCAUCUUUGAAAAACCAAAUGCACAUAGCCUUGUUGAUGUGAAACUAAAGUAUGACUUAAAGCUUCAUAUAUGAAUUCAGUGUGAAUCCAUAGUACAUAUACAUCCUAUGUGAGUUUUUUGAGCCGAUUGAAAGUGUGUGCAUUUUCAUUCAUACACUCCUAUUCUUUCAUGUGUGAUGAACUUAUGUGAGAUACAUCUCUAGAACUUGCGUAACGAUCUUUCGAAAUGUUUGUCAUUGAUUGCAUGAACUUGGAAAUGAUAGAGGCAUUAGGUUUACCACCAUGGCCCAAAUAACCAUGUUUCCCAAAGAAAAAUGAUAUCAUUAGAUUGCCAAUUUGAGCCGUGUUUGUUGAGCAUUUUAUUUCUUAUCACCAGAUAUGUCUACCCUAUACCUGAAACAUUUUUCCUUACCUUUUCCAAGCAAGCUAAUGAGCAAUGUGAGAUUGUCUUAUGAGAAAUGUUUGUGAAGUACUUUGAAGGUGUUUGGCAAAAGAAUAAGUGUGGGGGUAUUUCAUGUUUGUAUAAAAAAAAAAAAGAGAGAAAAGAGAAGAAAAAAAAAGAAAAGAAAAAGAAAGAUUGUAUACAAAGAAAAUAAAAAGUUUUUCAAGUUUCAGUUAAGAGUGUGGUUGGAGGUGCUAGAAGAAUCGCUGGAAAUAUUGAGUUCUUAUAAAUCUAAACAAAAGAACUGCUUGUAGCUUGGAACUUGUGUUUACCUAUUCUUUCAUUUCAAUAACCCUCUCCCUAAACCUCAUUACGUCCAAUAAAAGUCCUCUUGAUUUAAGUUUUGCAAUUAUGAUUGUGGAGAUGAGAUCUUUAUGCAAGCUUAUGGUAGAAAUUUCACAUUUGAUUCUUUGAGCGAAACACUUUAAAACUAAACACAUGUGUGAUUGAGUGAAUAUUCAGUGAGAAGGUCGCUAGUUUGCAUAUGAUGAUUUUAAAAAUAAAAACUUGAAAUUGCAUUAGCAUGGCUAUCUCACACACUACACUUCAAGGAUGAUUCAAAGAUUACUGCUAAUAUUUGAAUUAGGAAGAUGAACUUGGAUUAGUUCUUUGGUGCUAGCUAUGGUUCUUGAUGAUUUGUUUUCUCGAAUGAAAUUCUAUGAGGGUCACAUAGGGAAACUAAUGUUUUUCAUGUUAGUAUUUUUUCAUGUUUUCUUUGUUUUGCUCGAGGACUAGCAAAAGCUAAGUAUGGGGGUAUUUGAUCGGAUCAUAUUUAUAUAUAUUUUUACUUCGAAUUCACUCGUCUUUUCUUAGUUAGUUCCUUAUAUUUUUAAGCUAUUUACGUUAUUUUUGUGUUUAUAGGAUUUGUUAUGCAAAGAAAAUAAAAAUAGAACAAGUGAAAUUUUAUGUAAUAAAUUCGUCAAAACUGUCUGUGUAGAUUAGCUUUUAAAUAAAAAUAGGAAAUUAUUAGAUCCCAUAAUUUUAGUUUAUAUUUUUUUGCUGAAUUGGACCCUAUGUCCAAAAUAAAUCUACGACCCUCCUAGGUGGUGGAGACCUGAUUAUUAUUUAAUGGUGCUAAGUACUUAGCCAAAGAAAGGUUAUUAAAGAUUCAUACUUUUUGGUGGAGUUUGGUAAAACCAGGUGUAAAAGAUGGAAAGUAUUUGAGACUUGAGUGAGGAGAGAAAUGGCAGACAAAACAUAGCACGCAAGAAAGGAAGAUAAGUGGAACGAAAAGAAUGAAUAAAAGAGGCAAAGAAGAAAGACAUGCACACGGAAUAAUAAAUAUAAGAAGCAUGGGAUGGAAGUGGAACAAAAAGCAGGAGAGGGAGUGAGGAGUGACGGGAAUAAAAGCAAAGAAUGGCAGACAAGAAUAAAAGAAGAAGUCAGGAGUGCAGUUAGGGAGAGAGACUGUGCGGAAAAAGAGGGCGCGGGGAGAGCAGUGCGCACGGAUUAAAAGCAGAGGAGUACAACGUUAUAUAAAAGAAGAGAGUCGGGGGGAGCGGGAGAAAGGGGCUGCCCCUUUGGGCAGCUCGCAGAGACGCAGGAACCAAAGCUGCCUUAGGCAGAGGAAAAACGGAAAGACUGGCGGGGAGAGAGAGGGAGACACUUGCGAAACCAGAGGGGAGAGCUGGAAGGCAGGCGCACGGACAGAAUAAGAAAAUAAGAAGGGAAGAACGCUGCCCUUUGGCAGUGAGGUCAGGGAGAGCUGGAAGGCAGGCGCACGGACAGACUGAAGCAUCCUCC